GGGAAUUUUCCGCAAUGGGCGCAAGCCUGACGGAGCAAUACCGCGUGAGGGAGGAAGGCUCUUGGGUCGUAAACCUCUUUUAUCAGGGAAGAACACAAUGACGGUACCUGAUGAAUCAGCAUCGGCUAACUCUGUGCCAGCAGCCGCGGUAAUACAGAGGAUGCAAGCGUUAUCCGGAAUUAUUGGGCGUAAAGCGUCCGCAGGUGGUUUUGGUAGUCUGCUGUCAAAGCGCGAGGCUCAACUUCGUAUCGGCGGUGGAAACUCCAAGACUAGAGUUUGGUAGGGGUCACGGGAAUUCCCAGUGUAGCGGUGAAAUGCGUAGAUAUUGGGAAGAACACCAGCGGCGAAAGCGCGUGACUGGGCCUGAACUGACACUCAUGGACGAAAGCUAGGGGAGCGAAAGGGAUUAGAUACC
Molecule: ribosomal RNA, 415 nt
Filed under: uncultured cyanobacterium
Lineage: Bacteria; Bacillati; Cyanobacteriota
Description: bacterial SSU rRNA
Rfam family: Bacterial small subunit ribosomal RNA
Source: RNAcentral